Non-coding RNA from Castor canadensis (American beaver), 1612 nucleotides. Lineage: Eukaryota; Metazoa; Chordata; Mammalia; Rodentia; Castoridae. The record is from RefSeq and is a predicted model, not a curated record.
AGGGAACGGAUCUUAGUGAAGCAGUAACAAAGUUGAGCACAACAUCCAGCUCCUGGACACUUCAGACUGUAAUUUGGAAACAUGCACAUGUCUGGCUCCAGGACCAUGGGACUUUCUAUCUCCUCUGGGGAACAGAAAUGUGAACAGUGAGAAGGACACAGCAUCUAGGACUGUUGGUGUUUUCUGGUCGUGUAGAAGGGACCCACAUGCCAGGCAAACACUCCAUGACUGAGCUACAUCCCAGCCUGCAAUUGUCAUCUUUAUUCAGAGAGGAGAAAAUGAACAGCAUGAGUUUUUAAAAAGAAAGAAGAGACGGUGAAGCCCUUGCUGAGGAGACACCAUGGAGGUGCAGGCCAGGCAGGGGCCCCAAAGUGGGAGGGGUGUCUGAUUGUUGCAUCAUUUUGUCUUAGGUCAGCCUAAUCUUCACCUUCAAAGAAAGUCAAGGGAUUUACUGGCAGGCCUUGGUGAACCAAUGGAGCAUCAUCUCUCACACACAGAUCUUGUUAAGACCCUAACCUAAAUCGCAAGAAGAUGAAGUUCUCUUGAGAAAUUCUGGCACAUUUCUGUAAGUUCCUCAGCCUGUGCUCUGCAAACAAGCUGGCCAGUGGAGAAAGCAGAGACUACUGAAAACAACCACAUAACCUCUCUUAGAUGAGAAACUGAACUGAUUAGUUAACCUUUGUUUUAGUUCAGGGUUGUGAUUUGUGUAUGUCAUAAUUCUUGCCCCUUAUCUAGUUAUCAGAAUGUUGGAAGAACUAAUACAAUCAUUUAUGUCACAUACUUUAAACUUUAAUGUCAAUUGUAAAGGUAAAGGUGACACUUCCUUUCUUAAGUGUUACCACAUUAAACAUUAACCUAGUGCCACCACUGCAGGUUUGUACAUUCAGCCCAUUGCUAAGGAGACUGCCUUUGGAAAUUGAAAUGAUAAAGUACCAGUUCUGUUUCUGCUCUCAAAAUCUCGAGAAUUAAAUACCAGGGAAAGUUGGUAUGAAAUAUGCCUUUGCCGGCAGACCCUCAAAACAUCCCUUACCUUCUAGGCCUCAAACUAAUGCCCAAGUGACCUUGGCUUCUCCAGGCCUGUAAUCAGCAGCCUACUUUGCCUGGCAGCCAGUACUCAACUCCUCUGAUUCCUGGAGGCAUCCCCUGGUCUAAGGGAAUGUGGAAGAAAGAGUCCCCUCUUCCCUCCAUUCUCUGUGUCCAGUCACUUUGCCAUCUGUGAUCACCACAGCCACAGAACUACUGACUCAGAAGAGGUUAAAGCUGAUUUGAGCAGAAGUCUGAGCCAAGCGUGCACAAAUCCCAGUGUCUACCCAGAAAGCAGUAUCUCCAUGUCACACAGAAGGCUCAUGUUAGAUGUGUUGAUUCAGAGAUCAGGGAAAAUCAAGGAAUAAGGAAAUGAUAGUAGGAAUACUGUCCUCUCAAUGUACUUUGCUAACUGCAAACAUGUUUUUGUGUGUUUCCCAUAAAGUUCUGUUCCCACUGGACUUUUGUAAUAGUGAGGAUUAAGGGACUUACAGGUUUCUCAGAACCACCCAGGAUUGGAGCUCCAAAAUGAUAGUCUCUCUCUCUCUCUUUCUCUCUCUCUCUCUCAUUAGCACAUAUUAACUGUACA